CCCUGUAUCGAAAGUGACAUGGCCUUGCUGUUGCCAUAGUCAUUGAUAGUACAGGAACAGUGACUUUGAAAGCUUUUCCCGUGUUUGUUGGAAAAUCAGUUCCCCUCAAACCCUGUGUCUUUCAAACA
This is a small nucleolar RNA of Esox lucius (northern pike), 128 nucleotides long. Its record names the gene SNORA71. It matches the Rfam family "Small nucleolar RNA SNORA71". Rfam says of the family: The members of this family belong to the H/ACA class of snoRNAs which bind a number of proteins (including dyskerin, Gar1p and Nop10p) to form snoRNP complexes. This class of snoRNAs are thought to guide the sites of modification of uridines to pseudouridines by forming direct base pairing interactions with substrate RNAs. The record is from Ensembl. Lineage: Eukaryota; Metazoa; Chordata; Actinopteri; Esociformes; Esocidae.